This 250-nucleotide ribosomal RNA is filed under the name uncultured Gemella sp. Its description in RNAcentral is "partial 16S ribosomal RNA". It matches the Rfam family "Bacterial small subunit ribosomal RNA", at positions 118 to 356 of the family's 1533-position model. The record is from RNAcentral. Lineage: Bacteria; Bacillati; Bacillota; Bacilli; Caryophanales; Gemellaceae.
UAAAGAACCUACCUUAUAGACAGGGACAACUAUUGGAAACGAUAGCUAAUACCUGAUAAGAAAGAAACUCGCAUGAGAGAAGUUCGAAAGUCGGAGCAAUCUGACACUAUAAGAUGGCUUUGCGGUGCAUUAGCUAGUUGGUAGGGUAAAAGCCUACCAAGGCGACGAUGCAUAGCCGACCCUGAGAGGGGUGGAUCGGCCACAUUGGGACGUGAGACACGGCCCAGACUCCUACGGGAGGGCAGCAGCG